ACCGGCAGCUCAAGUGGUGGCCAUUAUUAUCGUCCCCCCCUCUUUCUUCUCCUUUUUUCUCCUUCCCUUUUUCCCUCCAGAAACUCCACUGAGGGACUUGCUGGAGAUACUAUCAGACUUGAGGUCGGGAGAGGUUAGGGGUACUCCCAGGGUAGGGGUGAAAUCCUAUAAUCCUGGGAGGACCACCUGUGGCGAAGGCGCCUAACUGGAACGAACCUGACGGUGAGUAACGAAAGCCAGGGGCGCGAACCG
This 252-nucleotide ribosomal RNA is filed under the name uncultured prokaryote. RNAcentral describes it as "partial 16S rRNA". It matches the Rfam family "Archaeal small subunit ribosomal RNA", at positions 475 to 726 of the family's 1478-position model. The record is from RNAcentral.